AUCAUUUGAGUUAGUCCUUGUAAUGUGCUUAGUGUCAUGACUAGCACCAAAAGGUAUUAUAUAAAUGUUAGCUCUUUGGGUAGGUAGGUUGCACAGUGCAUAGAACUUUGGUUCUAGAGUCAGAAAUAUCUGAAAUAAUAACAGAAAUAACUGAAAUAACCUCAGACGAUUUUUCCAGUUUCAGUUUUAAGUGUAAAUUGAAGAAGAUAACAACACUGAUCUCACAGGUUUUCUAUCUCUAUAUUUGUUAUUAUGAAGGUUACUAGAUAUAAUGCUAUAGAACACAUAGGACAUGUUUCCAUUUGCAAAGAGGAGAAAUGAGAAUUUUUCUACGUAAUUUAGGCUACCCCAGUAUAUGCUUUCUUGCAUUCGACUAAUAAUACCUCUUACUCACCUGCCAUGCUAAGAUGAUAUGAAGAUUAAUGAACUGUUAUUUGCAAAAUGCUUUGAGAUCAUCCAAUGAAAGAUGCAGCAAAUGCACGAAUGGUAUUUAAUCAUGUCAUUUUUUUGUAAUAAGGAUAAUGAGAAUGGCAAUUACAGGAAAAUACAGAAUAUAAUUGAUAUAUUUCAUAAGACACCAAGAAGCUUUCAGUUGCCAUCAUUUCUAUUUCCUGUUAUUGGGAAGUAGGUGAAUUUUUGAAAUUUGCUUUAUAAAUUUUAUGAGCUGCUUUUAAUUAUUUAAAAAAAAAAAUUGGGAGAUUGACCUGUAACAAGCAUGGGGAGGAUGGGGCUUUGCCCUAGGGUAAUAGAGUACUCUUCUUACCUGAAAAGGUAUAGUUUUUCCAUGAAGCAACCACUGUCUCUGUCUAGUGCCUUAUCACUACUACUGUGUUGUGCUACAACCAUUACUACAUGGAUCCCAUGAAUCUUCUUUCUUGCCUCCCUCCCUCCAAAUCAUCAUGGCUGUGAUGGCUAGAUGGCCCCCUCUUCCAGCACAGUGGAAGCUUUGGAUAUUCUUUCCACUGGGCUACCCCCUUGACUAUUUUUGUUCUAGGUAAAGAAUAUUCUAAAUCCUGUUCUAUUUGGCACUUAAUAAAUAUGUAUUGACUGACUUAUUGCAGAGAUAUUCUGGUGCAAUGUAAAUAUUCCCCAAAGAUCUUCAGGGCUUACAAUUAUGCUCCAAGGGUCAACUUCUAUGAGAUAUGCAGGCAAAUUAAAAGGAACCUACAUUUGCAAAUUUAUAAAUGGAUGCAUAUAUCAUGAGCAAAACUCAGGAAUUAUGUAAAACUUACCUUACAUGUGCAUAUGGAGUCUCCUCAUGAGAAAAAUACUGCGGUGUGAACAAAACCACUAGUAUUGUAGAAGGAACUCUUUAAGCCCUGAGCUUCAUCCCUGACCCUAUCGCUUACUUGCUUUGUUACCCUGAGCAAGUCACUUAAUUUCUCUUGGUCUCAUUCUCUAAAAUACUAGGAUUGGACUGGAAGACCUCUACAAUUCUCUUGGUACUAAACCACUAUGAUUCUCGAUUGAUUUCAGAGGCAACCAACAAAAGGAAAAAAGCCCCCCUUUUUGUGAGAGCAAGCCAAGUUUCACUGGAUAGGAAUGGGUGUGGGGGAGAAUUCAAUCUGCCAGUGGUAUAUGUUUAACAACUUUAUCCAUUCCACUUUAUAGCUCGCCAUUGGGCAUAGACGUUUUAUGACUUGUAACAGUUUAAUGUGUCCUGCUGAGUUCCCUCCUCCUUCAGGUUCCCUUUCUCUUUGCUGAAGCAUUUUCUGUACUGUGAGUGAUGGAUAUUUUUGGUUGGUCAGAUAAAAAUACGAUCCACACCAGGGUAGCAGCAAUGUGUCUGAUGUGCAAAACCAUGGGGGGAAAUCAUCCCUUCUCCAUCUUUCUUCCCUUCUCUAUCCUUGCAGGGCGCUGACGAAUGAAAAACAAUUAUGCACCUUGCACCAUGGAGACAGCAAGUACAGAAAAUAAACAGUGAAUGAUGAAGGGAAGUGGUUUUAUUACAGGGUAAAAACAGAGAAUUAUCAAUAACAGCAAUAAUGGAGAAAAAUGGUAAUGAAUAAUUAAAUAUAAUAAAGUCAUGAUAACAAUAAAGUGCAAUGAAUAAUGCAAUUCUAUUUGUAAUAAUAUGACUCGGUUCAUCUUGAUGAAGUGGCCUCUCUUUAGGCUAUUUCCAACAGGCAGAGGUGUAAACACCAAUCUGGCUCUAUAUUAGUCUCGACUCAAAACAUUUCUGAGGGAUCUGUGGCAGGCCUGCUUCCUUUUUCCUCAGAAUUCUUCCCUAACUUCAUGCUCUCUGGAGUGGGCAGGGUGUAUACAAUAUGUUUUUUUUUCCUUUUUGUUUCCCUAGCUUGUCUCUAACCCUGGAAUAGUGCUGCCAAUACAACUGAACCCUCAGGAAUGUUUUUGUUGCAAAAAAUGCCAAGUAGUCAGGUGAUCUAAUGCUGGCAAUCCCCAGGGUAUUCAAGUACCUUCUUUCCCUUCAACCCCCCCCUUUUGCAGAAAUUUACUGGAGCAAUAAAUCUAGUGCAAUCAUGGAGAAAAAUUUAGGCAGGGGAACUCUAGAAAGAGAGGUGGGGGAAUUGCAACAGUAAGCAAAACACCAACAGAAUCCCAGGAACAGAGCAGAAAUAUUUCCUUUGCUUGACUUGUGUCUGGUUGCCUUCUAUGUUGCCUUGUUUAUUUUUGUUUGUUUGUUUUUAGCAGCUCGUCCAUGCACUCUAAGAGACUUGAGUCAUAUAACUGGUGAAGUCAGUACCAAGGAGUUACAGUGUGGUUAGAAGGUCCAUAUUAACAAACAAAAUGUGUUGGAAACUUCCCUCAAUAUGUUAUCUGAUUCUCAGAGAGACACAAAGGUGGCACAGCCAAUGAUAUCUUCUCUCAAAGAUGCUGCCAUCAGCUACUCCCAAGACAGUGGAAUUCCUGAGCUGCUAUUAAGCUCCAACUGUCAGUAAAACUUCUGAUGGGACAUCUGGAUCUCUUGAAUCCAUAAGGUUGCCCAGGCACUCUCAUCUCAGAAUACUAAUAUUCCCAAGAUCAGAAAAGGUGGUCUGUAAUAUAUAUACUCCAAGGACGAAGUUGUUUCUCUUUCUCCCUCCAAUCAUGUUCAUUCAGAUUCAUGGACCAUCAAUGUCAAAGACCUGAUCUUAAAGUGCAUAUAGCCCACAACACUCCCAAGUGUGGCUUGAACCAAUUUAAAAUGUAUCAGCAAAAUAUUUAACAAAAUAAAUAAAA
Non-coding RNA from Monodelphis domestica (gray short-tailed opossum), 3180 nucleotides. Lineage: Eukaryota; Metazoa; Chordata; Mammalia; Didelphimorphia; Didelphidae. The record is from RefSeq and is a predicted model, not a curated record.